AACGCGCACCUACUUAUUCUAUCGAAAUAAUUUUGCUUCCCGUUCGUUCAGUCUCAGUGUCAUGUGUGUUCUAGUAGAAUCUCAAAUUUUGAAGCAAGCCGGAAGGCCUGGAAUUCUAAACUUCUUCACAUACGAGGAAUUUUUGACUGAACUAAGUAACACAACUAGUUUUAUUUUCAUAUUCAAGCACCGUGACGGGAAGACUGGGGGCCGAGUGAUGUUGCAGCACGUGCGCCGAUAUCUGGUCUCGUAUUGAUCUGAUGAGACUCAAGACUGAAGCCUAGAGCAACGUGAUUCUGGUGAAAAAGUAAACCGUAUCUCUGAGACGGCUCACGGCCAGCCAGAGGUAAAGUGAGGCACAAGAUGUUGUGGAAGGACAGAUGCAGCUUCUACUUGGCUGUACAGAAGAAUGACCUUGAGGCAGCAGGUCAGCUGAUCAAACGUGGCCUUGAUGUUGACAUCCGCUACAAGGUUGGCUCGCUCAGUAAGCCCGUGCUGUCCAUCUGUGCACAGAGAGGUCACGUGCAAAUGGGUGAGUGCAU
Molecule: long non-coding RNA, 542 nt
Organism: Priapulus caudatus
Lineage: Eukaryota; Metazoa; Priapulida; Priapulimorpha; Priapulimorphida; Priapulidae
Exons: 3
Source: RefSeq, a predicted model, not a curated record